GAUGAAGAACGCAGCGAAAUGCGAUAAGUAAUGUGAAUUGCAGAAUUCAGUGAAUCAUCGAAUCUUUGAACGCACAUUGCGCCCGCCAGUAUUCUGGCGGGCAUGCCUAUUCGAGCGUCAUUUCAACCAUCAAGCCCCCGGCUUGUGUUGGGGACCUGCGGCUGCCGCAGGCCCUGAAAACCAGUGGCGGGCUCGCUAGUCACUCCGAGCGUAGUAAUACAUCUCGCUCAGGGCGUGCUGCGGGUUCCGGCCGUUAAAAAGCCUUAUUUACCCAAGGUUGACCUCGGAUCAGGUAGGAAGACCCGCUGAACUUAAGCAUAUCAAUAAGCGGAGGA
RNAcentral lists this unclassified non-coding RNA (335 nucleotides) under soil metagenome. RNAcentral describes it as "partial contains 5.8S ribosomal RNA, internal transcribed spacer 2, and large subunit ribosomal RNA". The stretch from base 1 to 120 matches the Rfam family "5.8S ribosomal RNA", at positions 35 to 154 of the family's 154-position model. The record is from RNAcentral.